Molecule: long non-coding RNA, 1357 nt
Organism: Rhipicephalus sanguineus (brown dog tick)
Lineage: Eukaryota; Metazoa; Arthropoda; Arachnida; Ixodida; Ixodidae
Exons: 5
Source: RefSeq, a predicted model, not a curated record
CACUCAUGCACCAUGGCGCGUAGCAGGCGUUGAGACACCGAUUGAAACUCAGUAAUGCAUUAAACGCGCUCAAAACGCGCAUUUACACGCUUUCGUAGGCUGCGACGAGCGCGCGCCAAAUGCAGACGCUCUCCACAGCUUCAGUACAAAGUGACUACAGCGCCGCCGCUACUGUCGCCCGUCGGAGCAUCACCCGAGAUGCGGCGCGGCCGCUUCGUUCGUUCCACUGCCCCCUACUGUAGCGCGGAUACGCAUGGCUGCAUUGUAAAGCGCGGCUGCGGCACCCUCCUGCUCCUGCUUUUUGUGCAUCUGUCAUUGAAAGCGAUGUAUGUCUGCAGUCUCUGUGGUACCACCGAGACGUCUGUGCCACGUUUCAUGAAGUAUGCCGCACUGCACAAAAACAUGGAUGCAUUCUGCAUGAAGUGUCCAUUGGAACAGCACAGAAAAGUUUUCCGAGAGUUCCUUCUCUGAGCUAGUGCUACGAGAUACUAAGGACGAAAAUAGGACUGUAAAGAAAACGAAUAGUCCAAAAGGAUUUAUAUGGUUUUGUGUCAUGGAAGCCCAAAUUACCUGCACUAAGACACAACAAAAUGGAUUAAACUAAGUUGGCACUGAUGCUAUAGUGCCCUAAGGUGGUGCUGCGUCUCUAGCUACCAGAAGGCAAGUACAAGUGAAGAUCACGUCGGAGACGUGCUGUGCUCCCCUUUCAUCAUUGCCAAAGGAAAGAGCUUUCUGACUGCCGGGGUAUUUACCAUCUGUAUUGGUACCCAUGCUGUGAUCGAAUCCACCACACCGUGCCAGGCAUUCAAGUUGAUGUUCUUUACACACUUCGCCUUUACUAUUGAAUACCGCAAGGAGGUCAGCCUAACCCUGGUGUUCACACAAAGGGCAGCCGCAGCAGUCAACCCUGACAGAGGGCGCAAGGUCGAGAAGUCAAGGAAGCAGCGCCGCCUCACACCACAAAGACCAACUUAAUCAAAGCUCUGCGAGACUAUGAAUGCUAAAUGUUACAACGAAAAAUUUGCAGUGUCAUUAUGAAUAUACCGUAUUUACUCGAAUCUAAGCCGAUGUUUUUUUUUUUUUUUUCGAAAAAACGAUGUGCGACAGGAAGGGGGGGGGAGGGGUCUGCUUAGAUUCGAGUGCAAUGAUUAAGUUUUUUUUUGCUGGCCUCGCGAAUUUCGCGGGUCGGCUUAUAAUCAGCGCCGGCCUAGAUUCGAGUAAAUACGGUAUAUCUACACAUUUUCCAAACCAGUUUGAAUCUACGGUGACAACAUGUACGCAGUUUUCAUUAUUUUGAAGCUGUUUACAUGCAGCAUUUCCUGCGCUUUAAUAAAGAUUCGUUUCUUUUAUCAUGAAA